UGCCCUAGCGGUGAUUUCGAAGGUAAGCUAUUAAACCUAGCUGUGGAUUUUAGAGCUUCAAUUUUCUUCUCUGUUUACUGAUCCUCAUCUUCUUAGCGGUGGAAUUAGGUCACGGAUUUGGAGAGGUUGGUAUCGGGGAUGUGUUGUUGGAUUAGGGGAAGGAAUCGGAUCAGACUCGUGCUAGGUUUUCCCUUGAUCGGAUCAGUGGACCUCCUCCUCCUGGCUGUUGACUGAGGUUCCGGUUUGAGUGAGGUUCGAUUCUGAUUAGUGAGGUGUGCUCGGGAUUUCAGCAAGGUUGAGUGUUGUGAACUUUCUUAGGUUCCAACAGCAGCUACCCUAACCGGCAGCUACAUUUUUGGUGGUGAUCUACUGGUGAUCACCUUGGAUUUGGGACUCUGAUUCGAGACGAGCAUCUCGACAUUG
Molecule: long non-coding RNA, 423 nt
Organism: Zingiber officinale
Lineage: Eukaryota; Viridiplantae; Streptophyta; Magnoliopsida; Zingiberales; Zingiberaceae
Exons: 3
Source: RefSeq, a predicted model, not a curated record